Molecule: ribosomal RNA, 253 nt
Filed under: uncultured bacterium
Lineage: Bacteria
Description: partial 16S ribosomal RNA
Rfam family: Bacterial small subunit ribosomal RNA
Source: RNAcentral
UACAGAGGUGGCAAGCGUUGUUCGGAAUUACUGGGCGUAAAGGGCUCGUAGGUGGCCAACUAAGUCAGACGUGAAAUCCCUCGGCUUAACCGGGGAACUGCGUCUGAUACUGGAUGGCUUGAGUUUGGGAGAGGGACGCGGAAUUCCAGGUGUAGCGGUGAAAUGCGUAGAUAUCUGGAGGAACACCGGUGGCGAAGGCGGCGUCCUGGACCAACACUGACACUGAUGAGCGAAAGCCAGGGGAGCAAACGGG